UGAGGAAUAUUGGACAAUGGGUGAGAGCCUGAUCCAGCCAUCCCGCGUGCAGGAAGACGGCCCUAUGGGUUGUAAACUGCUUUUCUACGAGAAUAAACCACCUUACGUGUAGGGUGUUGAAGGUACCGUAGGAAUAAGCACCGGCUAACUCCGUGCCAGCAGCCGCGGUAAUACGGAGGGUGCAAGCGUUAUCCGGAUUUAUUGGGUUUAAAGGGUCCGCAGGCGGACUUGUAAGUCAGAGGUGAAAGCCGGCAGCUUAACUGUCGAACUGCCUUUGAAACUGCAAGUCUUGAGUGAGGUUGAAGUAGCUAGAAUGAGUAGUGUAGCGGUGAAAUGCUUAGAUAUUACUCAGAAUACCGAUUGCGAAGGCAGGUUACUAAGUCUUAACUGACGCUGAGGGACGAAAGCGUGGGGAGCGAACAGG
Molecule: ribosomal RNA, 424 nt
Filed under: uncultured bacterium
Lineage: Bacteria
Description: bacterial SSU rRNA
Rfam family: Bacterial small subunit ribosomal RNA
Source: RNAcentral